GUGUAUUUCUACCUCCUGCAAAUGGUGACCCCGACGUGGCCCUGAGAGCGCAGAAGACGCGGCAGGAGAAGCCCUGGUUGGAGGUACUGCUGUCGGCGGGACCGAAGCAGGGAAGCUGAGCCUAGGCUAAGAAGACACCUGAAAGGAAGCUGUAUGGGCAACAGCGCAGACAGGAGAAACAAGUCGACACGUCCAGCGACACCUGCGUUCAGCUUUUGCAGCACACGGCAUUCCACUUCAGAUAAAAACUGACAAUGGGCCAUGCUACAUCGCACAGCCAACUCAAAAGUUUUUUAGUCAAUGGGGUAUUGUACACACCACAGAUCACGGAACAAGAUGGGUACCAGCAAAGUGGGUAAAACCCUGGACA
Molecule: long non-coding RNA, 370 nt
Organism: Aquila chrysaetos chrysaetos
Lineage: Eukaryota; Metazoa; Chordata; Aves; Accipitriformes; Accipitridae
Exons: 3
Source: RefSeq, a predicted model, not a curated record